Molecule: ribosomal RNA, 372 nt
Filed under: uncultured bacterium
Lineage: Bacteria
Description: bacterial SSU rRNA
Rfam family: Bacterial small subunit ribosomal RNA
Source: RNAcentral
AUUGAACGCUGGCGGCAUGCCUUACACAUGCAAGUCGAACGGCAGCACGGGAGCAAUCCUGGUGGCGAGUGGCGAACGGGUGAGUAAUGUAUCGGAACGUACCUUUCAGUGGGGAGUAACGUAGCGAAAGUUACGCUAAUACCGCAUAUUCUGUGAGCAGGAAAGCAGGGGAGUCGCAAGACCUUGCGCUGAUUGAGCGGCCGAUAUCAGAUUAGCUAGUUGGUGAGGUAAAGGACUCACCAAGGCGACGAUCUGUAGCGGGUCGUGAGAGGAUGAUCCGCCACACUGGAACUGAGACACGGUCCAGACUCCUACGGGAGGCAGCAGUGGGGAAGUUUUGGUACAAUGGGCGGCAAGCCUGAUCCAGCCAUG